CUUAAAUUGAAGAGUUUGAUCAUGGCUCAGAUUGAACGCUGGCGGCAGGCCUAACACAUGCAAGUCGAGCGGAAACGAGUUAUCUGAACCUUCGGGGAACGAUAACGGCGUCGAGCGGC
Molecule: ribosomal RNA, 119 nt
Filed under: Vibrio parahaemolyticus
Lineage: Bacteria; Pseudomonadati; Pseudomonadota; Gammaproteobacteria; Vibrionales; Vibrionaceae
Also listed under: 1 other name
Description: partial 16S ribosomal RNA
Rfam family: Bacterial small subunit ribosomal RNA
Source: RNAcentral